GUAGGAGACGGCCGACAGCCAGUCGGUCACCGAGAGGAACACCAGCAGCCUCCGCGGGGUGGUCCUCAGGUCCGUCCAGAUAAUGUGUGUGAGGAUGAUGAGAGAGGAGCCCAGGACGGACAGCGCGCAGGUUGCUUCUUGGAGGAGUGCCGCAUAUCCUCGACAGCAGCAGUCAUUUGUAGAAGUGUGCUGACUCCUGGCCUACAUUCGCCGCUGCCGUCAUGCUACAGUCAGAAACGUGUCGAGCACGCAGGGGCAAAGACAGAUAAUAAACCGUCUCCUCCAGAGGUGCUUUUUCAACGCCCGUGUCUUCGUAUGAAGGUAUUCAGCUGCUGCAGUGUCUCUACAGGGGGAGUCCUGACUCGUGCACUGCUUCCGAUAAAAAAAAAAAAACCUCACACACACACUCAACCUGUGAAAGGGCUGAACUCUCUAAGAGCAGCUGUACACUGGGAGAUUUACAAAGACACAGAGUAAAAAAGAUGAAAAUUUUGCUUUUUUGAAGACUUUCAUCAAAUGUGAUGUUUUAAUUAAUAACUGUGUACAGUGCUAAAAGACAGAUCUCCUCUUACAGGUUUCAAUUUUUGAUUUUUAGUCACAUUAACAAAUUUUAAAACUAGUCAGGAAUAUUUGAGUAUUUACAAAAUGCCUUUUUCGAACACCACCACACAAAGGUGAACACAAAAGCGUGUAUUAUAUUAUAUCUGCUGUAAAACUAACAUGCAUUUUAUAUAUAUAUAUAAAAAAAAGCACUUCAAACAUGAGGCGGCAUUGCUGAUCCAGGAUAUGGAAGAUUUGUUUUCUACCUGAAAAUCCUGAGGGAAAACGUCCAGCCAUCAGAUUGUGAUGUUGAGCUCAGGCACACUGGGGUUGUACAGUAUAACAAUCAUUCGACGCUGUCCAGCAAGACCACCUCUGAAUAGAAAAAAAUAAAGGUAUUGGAGUGGGCUGGUCAAAGUCUGUCUGAACUGGCUGUUCAGACUCAAAAAUCCUCCUGUGUGGCUGAAUUAGAGCAGUUCUGCAAAGAAAUGUUCAAAAUUUCUAAAAAGUGAUUCAAAAAAUCUCACGACUCCUUACUGCCAAAGUUUGAUGGCAUUUGCCAAGAGUCGGGGGAGAAAUUACUUUCUCACAUGAGGUCAUUUGGACAGCUUUUUUCCCCCUCUAAAUAAAUUAAAUUAUUAUUUGGAAACUGCCUUUUCACUCUGCGUAUUUCUGUUUCACAUUAAAAUUGUUUAAUGAUCUGAAACUUUUUGAGUUAAACCAGAAAAGUGUGGUUUUUAAUUUGUAAAUCACGGCGCAAAUCCAGGUGGUGCAGUUGGUAGCACUGUUGUUGCCUUGCAGCAAAAAGGCCCUGGGUUUGAAUCCCAGCAUUUGGCUCUUUCUGUGUGAAGUUUGCAGGUUCUCCCUGAGCAUUCAUGGAUUCUCUCCAAGUACUCUGACUUUCUCUCACAGUCCAAAAACAUGAUCAGGUUUACUGGUUUCUCUAACUUGUCCUUUGGUGUGUGCAUGUUCUGUGGACUGCUAAUGCAACUCCUAAAAAAGGAUGAUGUAUAUUGCCUUGUUUUUUUCAUAAGAACUGUCUGUAGCUAAAAUGGAAAUAACUAGGAUCGCAUAAUCAUGAAUACUUCACACGAGGAUUGCAAACUUGCACCCUCAGAGACGCACUAGAAAGGAUUUCUGGCCAGAGACUGUACAUACAUACCUCCAGGUUUAAAUAAACAUCUCAUCAUGUGUGCUGUUUUGUACUGAGGAGACUGUGUGGCCCAUGCUGUGUUUUAGAAUGGAGGGAGGAAUACAAUAUUUUUUUUUCUCAUAUUAAGUCUGUUUUUUUCCCCCUAAGAAAAAUAUGUAAUUUUACAAGACUAAAUAUCAAGUGAAAUAAUCAUUCGUUGAGAACAUUGUAUUAUUUAGCCAAGCAUAAAAAAAAAA
Xiphophorus couchianus (Monterrey platyfish) is the source of this 1929-nucleotide long non-coding RNA. RefSeq lists it as uncharacterized. The transcript has 2 exons. The record is from RefSeq and is a predicted model, not a curated record. Lineage: Eukaryota; Metazoa; Chordata; Actinopteri; Cyprinodontiformes; Poeciliidae.